This 242-nucleotide long non-coding RNA is filed under the name Brassica napus (rape). RNAcentral describes it as "long non-coding RNA (BNAP_LNC017806)". Lineage: Eukaryota; Viridiplantae; Streptophyta; Magnoliopsida; Brassicales; Brassicaceae. The record is from RNAcentral.
AAUGCGGUAUUUGCUUGACCUGUGAAGAGAAAGCUAUGCCCACUAUUCCCAGGGGGAGAUUACGGCAGUGUACUCUUUUUCCGUCGUCAUGGUUUUUAUCCCAAUGGGUUUUUCCAUGACUAUGUUUUUAACGAGGCACUACGUAAUAUGAGAUGGAUAAUCAAGGGGGAGUGUUAGAUAAUGAUCAUCCAUCUCAUGAAGACAUCUGUUUCAUGACUAAUAUUGUAUUUGUCAUUGUCACU